AAACCAACAGGGAUUGCCUUAGUAACGGCGAGUGAAGCGGCAAAAGCUCAAAUUUGAAAUCCCCUCGGGGAAUUGUAAUUUGAAGAUUGUGUUUUGGAGACGACCAUGUCUAUGUUCCUUGGAACAGGACGUCACAGAGGGUGAGAAUCCCGUGCGGCAUGGCCCCCGUCUCCUUAUAAAGCACUCUCGACGAGUCGAGUUGUUUGGGAAUGCAGCUCAAAGUGGGUGGUAAAUUCCAUCUAAAGCUAAAUACAGGCGAGAGACCGAUAGCGAACAAGUACAGUGAUGGAAAGAUGAAAAGCACUUUGAAAAGAGAGUGAAACAGUACGUGAAAUUGUUGAAAGGGAAGGGCAUGCCGUCAGAUUGUCAGUGUGGGUAAGAAGCCGGGUAUAAAGACUAAGGAAUGUAGCCUUCGGGUGUUAUAGCCUUAGUUCAUCCCCGGUCUCUUUCCGAGGCCUGCUUUGAGGACACCGACGUAAUGACGGUACGCCGC
This 493-nucleotide ribosomal RNA is filed under the name Kodamaea kakaduensis. RNAcentral describes it as "LSU rRNA". It matches the Rfam family "Eukaryotic large subunit ribosomal RNA", at positions 62 to 648 of the family's 3401-position model. Lineage: Eukaryota; Fungi; Ascomycota; Pichiomycetes; Serinales; Debaryomycetaceae. The record is from RNAcentral.